This 253-nucleotide ribosomal RNA is filed under the name uncultured bacterium. RNAcentral's name for it is "partial 16S ribosomal RNA". It matches the Rfam family "Bacterial small subunit ribosomal RNA", at positions 524 to 776 of the family's 1533-position model. The record is from RNAcentral.
UACGAAGGGGGCUAGCGUUGUUCGGAAUUACUGGGCGUAAAGGGCGCGUAGGCGGCGUGUCAAGUCAGGCGUGAAAGCCCCGGGCUCAACCUGGGAACCGCGCUUGAGACUGGCAUGCUCGAGUUCGGGAGAGGAUGGUGGAAUUCCCAGUGUAGAGGUGAAAUUCGUAGAUAUUCGGAAGAGCACCAGUGGCGAAGGCGGCUCACUGGACCGUAGUUGACGCUGAGGUGCGAAAGCGUGGGGAGCAAACAGG